This 410-nucleotide ribosomal RNA is filed under the name Bacillus sp. (in: firmicutes). RNAcentral's name for it is "bacterial SSU rRNA". It matches the Rfam family "Bacterial small subunit ribosomal RNA", at positions 59 to 459 of the family's 1533-position model. The record is from RNAcentral. Lineage: Bacteria; Bacillati; Bacillota; Bacilli; Caryophanales; Bacillaceae.
CAGUCGAGCGGAUCUUCAUUAGCUUGCUUUUGAAGAUCAGCGGCGGACGGGUGAGUAACACGUGGGCAACCUGCCUGUAAGACUGGGAUAACUUCGGGAAACCGGAGCUAAUACCGGAUAAUCCUUUCCCUCACAUGAGGGAAAGCUGAAAGACGGUUUCGGCUGUCACUUACAGAUGGGCCCGCGGCGCAUUAGCUAGUUGGUGAGGUAACGGCUCACCAAGGCAACGAUGCGUAGCCGACCUGAGAGGGUGAUCGGCCACACUGGGACUGAGACACGGCCCAGACUCCUACGGGAGGCAGCAGUAGGGAAUCUUCCGCAAUGGACGAAAGUCUGACGGAGCAACGCCGCGUGAACGAUGAAGGCUUUCGGGUCGUAAAGUUCUGUUGUCAGGAAAGAACAAGUACCGA